RNAcentral lists this ribosomal RNA (468 nucleotides) under uncultured bacterium. RNAcentral describes it as "partial 16S ribosomal RNA". It matches the Rfam family "Bacterial small subunit ribosomal RNA", at positions 28 to 507 of the family's 1533-position model. The record is from RNAcentral.
GACGAACGCUGGCGGCGUGCUUAACACAUGCAAGUCGAACGGAAAGGCCCUGCUUUUGUGGGGUGCUCGAGUGGCGAACGGGUGAGUAACACGUGAGUAACCUGCCCUUGACUUUGGGAUAACUUCAGGAAACUGGGGCUAAUACCGGAUAGGAGCUCCUGCUGCAUGGUGGGGGUUGGAAAGUUUCGGCGGUUGGGGAUGGACUCGCGGCUUAUCAGCUUGUUGGUGGGGUAGUGGCUUACCAAGGCUUUGACGGGUAGCCGGCCUGAGAGGGUGACCGGCAACAUUGGGACUGAGAUACGGCCCAGACUGCUACGGGAGGCAGGAGUGGGGAAUAUUGCACAAUGGGCGGAAGCCUGAUGCAGCAACGCCGCGUGCGGGAUGACGGCCUUCGGGUUGUAAACCGAUUUCGCCUGUGACGAAGAGUGAGUGACGGUAAUGGGUAAAGAAGCACCGGCUAACUACGUG